GACAGAGGUCCCGAGCGUUAUGCGGAAUCACUGGGCUUAAAGCGUGUGUAGGCGGAGUGCUAAGUACCUUGUGAAAUCCCACGGCUCAACCGUGGAACUGCUUGGUAUACUGGUUCUCUUGAGCCACCUAGGGGCAACCGGAACAAACGGUGGAGCGGUGAAAUGCGUAGAUAUCGUUUGGAACGCCAAUGGUGAAAACAGGUUGCUGGGGGUGUGCUGACGAUGAGACACGAAAGCCAGGGGAGCAAACGGG
This 253-nucleotide ribosomal RNA is filed under the name uncultured bacterium. Its description in RNAcentral is "partial 16S ribosomal RNA". It matches the Rfam family "Bacterial small subunit ribosomal RNA", at positions 524 to 776 of the family's 1533-position model. The record is from RNAcentral.